UAAUUUUUUUUAUUUUUUUAAUUCAUUAAUAUUCUUAAAAUAAUUAAAGAAAAAAUCUGAAGUGCUUCUGUGGCUUACCAAAUUGAGCUUAAGUCAGAGAUAUCUGAAUAUUGUGGAACAAGACAACUCUUUAUGAUGGUGGGUCUUUGUGUUUUUUCCUUACGUGGACCAAGACAAUUUUCCAGUUUUGCAAAACCUUCUCAUGGAGGUUCCCACGGUUCCCAAGCUUCCUUGGAUAAGCAAUGAAAACAAGAAAGCUUCUCACAUAGAAGCUUCUUCGUUGGGAUGUGUUGGCUAACCAGCAAAGCGAUCAUCUGAAAUGGUUCUAGAUGCACGAGGUAGGCCAGCGAGGGACCAGUGGCUGUCACUUGCCUCGCCAUAGUCAGGUGCGACAGCAUCAAGGCCAAGCAUUGGCCAGCAGAUGCAGAGCCAGCAUCCACAAUCUCCACAUCAGUGUCUGCAUGAGUGACCAUGUCAGUGGAUGCUGAAAUAGAAACACCCCAUUAAGACAAAUUCAGAUAAGUAAAUAAUCGGGCUCCAAAUCUUUCUGGUUAAGUAGAUAAUAUCCGUAUUAGAUGGUUUUAUGUAUUAAGUAUUCAUUAUUU
RNAcentral lists this unclassified non-coding RNA (605 nucleotides) under Hevea brasiliensis (rubber tree). The record is from RNAcentral. Lineage: Eukaryota; Viridiplantae; Streptophyta; Magnoliopsida; Malpighiales; Euphorbiaceae.